Molecule: long non-coding RNA, 314 nt
Organism: Arvicola amphibius (Eurasian water vole)
Lineage: Eukaryota; Metazoa; Chordata; Mammalia; Rodentia; Cricetidae
Exons: 3
Source: RefSeq, a predicted model, not a curated record
CAAGCUUUGCGUAAUGUUUGGCUGUGGGACUCUGCAUAUGUUCCCAUCAGUUGCUGGAGGAAGUCUCUUCGUUCUCUUUGAUAAGAAUUCUGUGAGGCUCCAGUUCCAGAGCCCUGCAGGUCCUCUCAGUAUAGGAGCAAGCUCCAUUGCAGGGUUCCAAGGACCUUGAAGGUAAAAAGAUUUCUUUUUAACAACAAAUACAGGAGAAUUCCAAAGGCUGUUUGAUUCUUCAAUAUGCUGAGCAUCUAGUUGCUUUGUACCAGCUGUUCUGAAGCCUGGAGCUUCUCUGUUAAAGGCCACUGAGCAACUGAUAA